CCCAGUGAUAAACAGGUCUUUUUGGCAGGAAUUUCAAUCCAAGUCUUGUCUCCACACAUUCAACUCGAUUCAUUAUAUUUUCAUUGAAUACGUUCAGGCAGACGAGUUAGUCAUGAAGUUAUUCUUGGUUACUGUUUUGAUCUCAAUGGUCGCAGGUACCUGGGCCAUUGAGUGCUACAACUGUGGAGUUUCGGGUUGUACUGAUCCUUUCGAUUCGUCUGCAUCAGGUGUAUCGAACACUUGUCCUGGUACUAGUUUGAUUACAUACGCGUAUUGUGUGAAAACAGUCAGUGGAUCAACAGUGACACGUUUAUGUGCUCCUGCCUGUACUGAGGGCUGCGCAGGCGGUACCUGUAUCUACUGCUGCAACUCCAACCUCUGUAAUGGAGGUACCACCGUGACAACCAGCUUCGUUGCUAUGGGCGUGGCCAUGCUGGCUGCCUUCAUCCUCGCCAGACAGUAGGCUGCAGAAUAUGCAUCACGUGACCGGUGUUAUAGGAGAAAUGUACACACCAAUAUGUAUGCACUGUUUACUCAGAAUUGUGGUUAAAAGAUACUAAUCCUAGGUCUUUCUUGCAAAAGUGUGUUUAAGACGAUCGUAAUAACUUUUGAGAAAACAUCCAAAGGCAAUGUCAUUGCCUUUCUCCAUCAACAAUUGAAAUCUGCGAACAUUGCAACGAUGUACUGGAACUAAAUAAUCGGAAUAUGAUUCCUUUUGCAUACACAGUAGGGUUUUGAAUUUGCUAUUCGAAAAUUUUCUUUAAAGUCUUUGCGAUCGUGAACCUUUUAAAGUUGUGUGUUUUGUUAAUUUUAUAAUGCAUAAUCUACAUCUCUUCUUCAGUUUCUAUUCCAUUUAAAAAAUGAAAGAGAAAAUGUACAACAGUAGAUCAGUUAUACACUUAUGCAGAAUAAGUGCUUGUAAAUAAUGUCAUACUCUUUCUCUAAUAGAUUGAUUUUUAAACAUCUGCAUACUGUUUUGUAUUUUAACAAUAGAAAUUUCUUAUCGGCUUUCAAUGUUUUUCUUUCAAUUAAAGGAGAGAAGUCAAACCCCGAAACGUUGGCAUAGAUUCUUCAGAUGAUUUCUGGGAAAAUAUAGUAAUUCAAAGAUGGAGGAUGUAAGACAAUGAUUUCAAAUAAUAUUGUUCUUGAGUUGAUUUCUUGAAGGUCUUUGCAAUUGUGCUUUGUUUUAAAAGGGAUUAUCUUCAGAAACAAGUUCAAGUAAACAAGUUCAAGAAUAUGCUUGGAAGCAAUCAGCUAUACAAUUUGAAAUCUCAUUUCCUCUUCGAAAUCCUUGCUAAAAUUAACAAAAUUUGUCAAAAUUACAUUUUUACCUGAAACUAAAUUAAGAAAAGCAUAAAAAAGGAUUAUCAUAUAUGUAGGUUCAUGUGAUUUUUUCUGAUUACAUCGAGAAGAAGCCAAUGUUUAUCCUUUUGUGAUUUAGACCCUAAGAAUGUUAAGACUAAUAAUAAAACUUUUCUUUUGUUUUUAAAUUGUAUUAAUUAUGGACUCAUUUUCCUUCAUAAACAAUCAAGUUAAAAUACGCGGAAGGUUAUAGUGCUAAAUAUAAAUCCACAAUAUUAAUGUGUAAGGUUAAUUAUUUCAAGAUGAAGAAACACAAAAGCAAUUUGUGCCAUAUUGUCAUCAUAAUCUUUGUUAUUAUAUGAAAAUCUGUCACUAUGCCUUUAGGAUUACCAAAUUAUCAUACCUUAAGAUCUAGAAAAGCAUUAUGUAUAUCUAAUACCCGGUGCACACCACACGAUGUGAUUACGAUCUGAUUCUGGAAGAAUUUGUGAUGGAAUCUUUAUAUUAACAUUCAAACAUUAGAAAUAUUAAUGACCGAGGAUCUGAAUAGUAAUAUGAUUUGACAAAAUCUAAAUUUCAAGAGAUUUCAUGCUCCCUUUAAGGAGUGGAAAACCCUGAAUCGGCAAGGAAUCGUAGUGACGUCAAGGCAGUAGUACGAUUGUCUACGAUUUAAAGCAGAUUCGGCUAUUAUUCUAACUAUAAGAGACUAAUGCACUAAGAUUGCAGUUGUUAAUAUUCUUAUCGUUAUUCAAAACCUAAAUCAAGAGGAUAGUGGUUGCUUUUUCUAUAUCAUAAUACACCCGCCUUUACUACGUAAAUCGGAUCACAGGAGAAUCGUGUAGUGCGCGCUGGGCUUAAAAGUUAAUUAGAUAACGGUCUUCCAGCUCUCAAUAGACGUACCGUUCAGUGUGAUAACAUAACAUGUAGUGCUAAGGAAUAAUAGGGAAAAGAUGAAAAUAUUAUAUUACAAAUACAUCUUUGUCAAAACAGCAUUUCCCGCUAAAUGACCUUUUCAAUGCAUGUUUGUUUCUUAACGAUUCUUUUAGCUAUGUUGGUUUAAAGUUCAAUAUUAACUAUGAAUAGAUCAUUCCUCGUUGUGUUUGAAUAGUAAAUGUUGAGGGUAGGUUUUUGUUUAUAUUGACUCAGAGUUUCUCUAGUCAAUAUAUUUUUCACCCUUUUUAUAAUUUUCUUUUAAUUAAACAUAUCAAUUACUUCUACCUUGUUUUACUUCCGUGGACAUGGUUUUGUGUCAUUUUACCAAUUAAUGGUUGUUACGAACAGGGAAGUCGGUUUAACCAAUUUGUUGACUCUCGAUUCUCGGUGGAAUUGCGGAUUAAAAAUGCAAAACGA
Molecule: long non-coding RNA, 2652 nt
Organism: Strongylocentrotus purpuratus (purple sea urchin)
Lineage: Eukaryota; Metazoa; Echinodermata; Echinoidea; Camarodonta; Strongylocentrotidae
Exons: 4
Source: RefSeq, a predicted model, not a curated record